AUGAAUUACAUCAUCGGCGCCUUCAAGCCGCCCUGCGACAUCUUCGUGACCUUUUCCGAUGAGAGGAGCCGGAAGCAGGUUGCAGUCAAGAAGGAUAAUGGAAAGACAACCAUGGUGCCGGCGUUCCAGAGCCUGGAGACCAUAGCCGGAGAGGUAUCAAUAGCGCCUGUUCCUGGUAAAAGGAUUGAGCACAUGGGUGUUAAGAUUGAGCUGCUUGGACAGAUAGAGUUGUAUUUCGACAGAGGCAACUUCUAUGACUUCACUUCACUGGUGCGUGAGUUAGAUGUUCCUGGUGAAAUAUAUGAAAGAAAGACAUAUCCAUUUGAGUUCUCUACUGUUGAAAUGCCAUAUGAGUCAUACAAUGGAACAAAUGUCAGACUGAGGUACAUCCUGAAAGUGACUAUUGGUAGAAACUAUGUUGGUAAUAUUGUGGAAUCUCGGGAUUUCUGUGUAAGGAACUAUUCUCCUCUUCCUUCAAUCAAUAACAGCAUCAAGAUGGAAGUUGGAAUUGAAGAUUGCCUGCAUAUUGAGUUUGAGUACAGCAAAAGCAAGUACCAUCUCAAGGAUGUCAUUGUAGGAAAGAUCUAUUUUCUUCUAGUCAGAAUAAAGAUAAAAAACAUGGAGCUUGAGAUUCGCCGCCGGGAAUCAACAGGAUCAGGUCCUAACACAUAUGUUGAGACUGAGACACUUGCUAAAUUUGAGCUGAUGGAUGGUGCCCCAGUCAGAGGAGAGUCUAUUCCUGUAAGGCUAUUCUUGACUCCAUACGAGCUAACCCCGACUUACCGCAACAUAAACAACAAGUUCAGUGUCAAGUACUACCUCAACCUGGUCCUUGUGGACGAGGAAGACCGGAGAUACUUCAAGCAGCAAGAGAUAAACAUGUUCCGCCUUGACGAAACUCCACAGCCUUCAUAA
RNAcentral lists this ribosomal RNA (915 nucleotides) under Triticum aestivum (bread wheat). Its description in RNAcentral is "partial small subunit ribosomal RNA". Lineage: Eukaryota; Viridiplantae; Streptophyta; Magnoliopsida; Poales; Poaceae. The record is from RNAcentral.